Molecule: ribosomal RNA, 800 nt
Filed under: Pseudomonas sp.
Lineage: Bacteria; Pseudomonadati; Pseudomonadota; Gammaproteobacteria; Pseudomonadales; Pseudomonadaceae
Description: bacterial SSU rRNA
Rfam family: Bacterial small subunit ribosomal RNA
Source: RNAcentral
AAACGGACGCUAAUACCGCAUACGUCCUACGGGAGAAAGCAGGGGACCUUCGGGCCUUGCGCUAUCAGAUGAGCCUAGGUCGGAUUAGCUAGUUGGUGAGGUAAUGGCUCACCAAGGCGACGAUCCGUAACUGGUCUGAGAGGAUGAUCAGUCACACUGGAACUGAGACAGGGUCCAGACUAAUACGGGAGGCAGCAGUGGGGAAUAUUGGACAAUGGGCGAAAGCCUGAUCCAGCCAUGCCGCGAAUGUGAAGAAGGUCUUCGGAUUGUAAAGCACUUUAAGUUGGGAGGAAGGGCAGUAACCUAAUACGUUAUUGUUUUGACGUUACCGACAGAAUAAGCACCGGCUAACUCUGUGCCAGCAGCCGCGGUAAUACAGAGGGUGCAAGCGUUAAUCGGAAUUACUGGGCGUAAAGCGCGCGUAGGUGGUUUGUUAAGUUGAAUGUGAAAUCCCCGGGCUCAACCUGGGAACUGCAUCCAAAACUGGCAAGCUAGAGUAGGGCAGAGGGUGGUGGAAUUUCCUGUGUAGCGGUGAAAUGCGUAGAUAUAGGAAGGAACACCAGUGGCGAAGGCGACCACCUGGGCUCAUACUGACACUGAGGUGCGAAAGCGUGGGGAGCAACAGGAUUAGAUACCCUGGUAGUCCACGCCGUAAACGAUGUCAACUAGCCGUUGGAAUCCUUGAGAUUUAGUGGCCAGCUAACGCAUUAAGUUGACCGCCUGGGAGUACGGCCGCAAGGUUAAACUCAAAUGAAUUGACGGGGCCCGCACAACGGUGGAGCAUGUGGUUAAUUCGAACA